This 60-nucleotide transfer RNA is filed under the name Saprospirales bacterium. RNAcentral describes it as "tRNA-Phe". It matches the Rfam family "tRNA", at positions 14 to 71 of the family's 71-position model. From Rfam's summary of the family: Transfer RNA (tRNA) molecules are approximately 80 nucleotides in length. Their secondary structure includes four short double-helical elements and three loops (D, anti-codon, and T loops). Further hydrogen bonds mediate the characteristic L-shaped molecular structure. tRNAs have two regions of fundamental functional importance: the anti-codon, which is responsible for specific mRNA codon recognition, and the 3' end, to which the tRNAs corresponding amino acid is attached (by aminoacyl-tRNA synthetases). tRNAs cope with the degeneracy of the genetic code in two manners: having more than one tRNA (with a specific anti-codon) for a particular amino acid; and 'wobble' base-pairing, i.e. permitting non-standard base-pairing at the 3rd anti-codon position. Lineage: Bacteria; Pseudomonadati; Bacteroidota; Saprospiria; Saprospirales. The record is from RNAcentral.
AGUUGGUAGAGCAAUGGACUGAAAAUCCAUGUGUCCGCAGUUCAAAUCUGCGAGGCACCA